UUAUUAUUAUUAUAAUAAUAAUAAUAAUAAUAAUAAUAAUAAUAGAUGUCUUUGUUUUCUUUUCAAGAUGUUUAAAUUGAUGUCCAUUUUUUUGAAGCAAAAACUUUGUUUAGUAUCGUAAACUCUCUUGAAAAAGAAAAGUUACUUUUGCGAGGUUUCCCACAUAUCAGUUAAAAACGCUAGAAAUACCAUUCAAAUACAUGUGUGAAUACAUGUACAAAGUCAAACCAAGACAUUAGCUAGUUGGUGCACGGCCGUCAGUCUCCUCCAUUUGUCUCUUGAAAAAUUAUUAAUGAAAUUGGAAGGUAUUGCUCUAGUCAAACAAAAAUGUAAAAUAAGCGUGGACCCUAACCUUUGACCUUCCUAGUAAGCUUGUUCCCAACCUGUAUUUUUUAAGUAUAGCCAAACAUGAAUGAUCAGGAGGAGAAGAAUUAUUUAUAAUUUCUGUUUAAUAUGUGCAACAAUCAAAUCAAUUCUCACUUUCUGAUAUCUCUUGCAUGGUGUUUGUAUUCCAAUGUUCACCCAGAAAUAUUUUUAGAGAUCCAAUGGUUUUUACUUAUUGUUCUUUGCUUUUCUUCUCAAUUAUAGUUGGUACAAAUGUCUAAAAUGUAAUAUCUAUCUUUAUCUCCUUUUUUUAUCAGAAGAACUAAUCAGAAGCACUGAUUAAGUAAAUGAAAAGAAAAAUCUUCAAAACAAGCCCAGGAUGUAGAUGACCAUCUACACAAGUAUGAAGAGGAAAGAAGUAGUAGGUAGAGCCUGUAUUUGUUGAUUUAUUUUUGUAUAUAUUUGGAAUACAACGGCUAGCACAAUGCCUUUAGAACAUGGCUAUGGUAAAGACUUUUUUACAACGGUCACCUGUGUCUUGGGCCAUGUGAUAACGCUUUCAAACUACUGGUAUUAUUCUAGUUGAUAUGCGCGCUUUUUUUGGGCUCCCACUGACACUUGCGCUCUAGUCCACCUUCAUCUUUCCUUAUUGAGUUAAGCCAUUUUACGAGAAAAUGUUGCCAGAUUCCUUGACAGAUGACUUGUUGGCAAAGUAUGCUUAAAUGUAGAAAUUGACUGUUUUUUAAACACUCCAAUAAUAAAAUGUCAUAUGACAUUAUAUCAAAGAAUUUGGCAAAAGAUUUCGACAAUAUAGCAAGGUUUUUCCUCAUUUCGUCCUAGCCUUGGAGAUAACCACAGAAAGCCACCUGGAUGUAAUAUGCCAGGUUAUAAAAAAGCUCUAUUAAUGUCUUCAUAUAUUGCAAGAACAACUUGCGGCACUACACCAAAAAUGAUUAUUUGCAAUAGAUAAAAGGUAACAUUUGGUAGCUAAGUGUUGCUAAAGGAUCUACCGCAACAUUUUAAUGAGUGUAUGUUGCUAUUGGUUAACAAAAUUGAGCUUUGACGACAUUUUUUAAAUGGAUGUUUUUAAUGUCACAUUUUGCAACGUUUAUUGAAUGUUGUGGAAAAUUCCAUUUUCACAACACUUACUAAAUAUUGCUAAAGGUUCUUUUUUCAACGUUCACUGGCCAUUACAAAAAUUUCACUUUUCACAAUAUUUAUCAAAUGUUGCAAAAAGUUUUAUUUUUCGCAAUGUUCAUUAUUAAGACAUUUUUCCUUUUUGCAGCAUUCGUUGAAGGUUGCAAAAAGUAUCAAAAAAUGAACACAAAUAAAAUUAUAUACGGACCCAAAAUAAUCCAAACACUAGACUAAUAGAGUCUGUUUGGGAGUGAUUUUAAGAAUUGAUUUUUUGACCGUUAGAAAAAAAGUGGGGUCCACGUGUGAGAGAAGAAAUCAAAUAUGAUUGUUGAAAUAGUGAAAUAACGUUUAAAAAAUCAAUUUUUUGGAUGAAAAAAUCGUGCCCAAACAGGCUCAUAAUUCACGCCUCUCCUCUCUUCUCCUCUUCUUCACUCCCGACCAAAAGUUUUACUUCUCCAUAUUUUGCCCAAUUAAUUUGCUCCCGUUCAGCCCCAAUAGAAGGUCUUAGUGUUGAUUGAGGGUGCAAAAACGAUGUUCUUUCGCUUCGAGAACUUUUUUGGAUAAUAUAAGGUACAUAGAUGAGCAGAACAGCGCUGCGAAUCGGACCUAUAAACUGGGUUUGAACUGAUUCACUGAUCUCAGCAAUGAGGAGUACCGAUCCAUGUAUUUGUGUGCGAAAAUCGGUGAUAGGAAGACGAAGAGUGAUCGGGACGGUAUAAACUGAAAGACGGCAACAACUUGCCAAAUUCCAUUGACUGGAGAGACAAAGGCCCUGUCCCUCCAGUGAAAGAUCAAGGGAGCUGUGGUAAGCCCUUUUAUUUAUUAUUCCAUAGAAAAGUUCUCAAUUAGAUUUUAUACUGCUUUAAAGUUUAGUGCAAAUCAGUCCAUUUUGUUGAGUAAAAAAAUAAAAAUAAAAAUGAAACUAGUCCAAAUUAAUUCAUUUUAUGGUGAUUAGGCUUAAUCGGUGGGCUUAGUGGGAAAUUAUGGUUGUUCUGUCAAAUAACUUGGUCCAGUAAGUAAUUGAACAUAAUAGAGUAGAAAAAACCGUUGAGGCUGGAGAAAUGAGGUUCCCUGUCUCUUGUUGGAUACCAAUAUAUGUUAAGAGUGACAAAAUUCAAUUACGGUUGAUCUACCUCCAUGGUUUGCUUAUGAUUAUAUAGAGAUUGGUAACUUUAAUCCUCUUUGGUGUUUCUGCGGAUGGUAUUUUUAGCCUUGGCCUUUGCUCAGAGUGAGGUAUUGUGGUACUUCUAGCACCUUUGAAUAGCUUCAUCAAAAUCAAAAGCAGCCCAAGUUGUUCCAGUAGAAAUUGUAAGGAAAUUACAUUUUUUAAGGGGGUUAGUGGAAUACAACUUUGUAAUGUGUAUUAUAUCCUAUGUAGCACGGACACUCUAACUAGAGUAGCGUGUCCGUGUCCGACACGUGUCGGAUACGUGUCGAUACCGACACUCUUCGGACACUCUACAAUAAUCAUUUUCCUUUCUUACUAUAGUUAUUUUAUAUUUUUAACUCAAAAUUUUUAGUAAAUAACAAAUAAGUACUCAUAUUUAAAAGAUUUCAACAAAGAAGAAUCAAUAAUAAGUAUAAAACUAAAUUUAAACUAUAUAAAUGAAGAAUUUUAAAGAAUUUAUCGAACGUGUCGACGACGUGUCGUGUCGGUACUUUUUUGAAAAAUCACGAGUCAACGUAUCCGACACGUAUCAUGUCGGACACACGUGUCCGUGUCGGUGCAUCAUAGAUUAUAUCUCUUAGUUACAGAGCAUAUCACGUCGAAAUGCAACCCUUUUUGAUGUUUGGUUCAUGGAUGCAGGAUGCAAAUGAUCCAACCAUUGGGUUCUUAUUGGAUGGAAUGGACCAUCUUUGUUGUCUAGUGUGGAAGUACAUUACAGGUCAGAUACCCUUACUAAAGCCAAAAUAAUAAUAAUAAUAAUAAUAAUAAUAAUAAUAAUAGAUGUCUUUGUUUUCUUUUCAAGAUGUUUAAAUUGAUGUCCAUUUUUUUGAAGCAAAAACUUUGUUUAGUAUCGUAAACUCUCUUGAAAAAGAAAAGUUACUUUUGCGAGGUUUACCAUAUAUCAGUUAAAAACGCUGGAAAUACCAUUCAAAUACAUGUGUGAAUACAUGUACAAAGUCAAACCAAGACAUUAGCUAUGUUGGUGCACGGCCGUCAGUCUCCUCCAUUUGUCUCUUGAAAAAUUAUUAAUGAAAUUGGAAGGCAUUGCUCUAGUUAAACAAAAAUGUAAAAUAAGCGUGGACCCUAACGUUUGACCUUCUUAGUAAGCUUGUUCCCAACCUGUAUUUUGUAAGUAUAGCCAAACAUGAAUGAUCAGGAGAAGAAGAAUGAUUUAUAAUUUCUGUUUAAUAUGUGCAACAAUCAAAUCAAUUCUCACUUUCUGAUAUCUCUUGCAUGGUGUUUGUAUUCCAAUGUUCACCCAGAAAUAUUUUUUGAGAUCCAAUGGUUUUUACUUAUUGUUCUUUGCUUUUCUUCUCAAUUAUAGUUGGUACAAAUGUCUAAAAUGUAGUAUCUAUAUUUAUCUCCUUUUUUUAUGGGCUAGGAACGACACAGCUCAUUUCGAAGAUUGCUGAGAAGAAAAUUAAGGAGGGCGAUAGGGUGGUUUCACUCACUACUUAAUGGUUUUUUAUUUUUUAUUUUUAUUUUUAUUGUUAUUUUUUAUUUUUUAUGGGAAAAAUGUAUUGGAUUUUUAGGUGUUUUAGAAUUUUGGAUCCGAAUAUUGUUACAUUUUAGAGUUUAAUUAAUAAUGAUUAUUGGAGUUAUU
This 4232-nucleotide long non-coding RNA is filed under the name Olea europaea subsp. europaea. The record is from RNAcentral. Lineage: Eukaryota; Viridiplantae; Streptophyta; Magnoliopsida; Lamiales; Oleaceae.